This 24-nucleotide small RNA is filed under the name Arabidopsis thaliana (thale cress). RNAcentral describes it as "ATSL019640". The record is from RNAcentral. Lineage: Eukaryota; Viridiplantae; Streptophyta; Magnoliopsida; Brassicales; Brassicaceae.
GAUGGUUGUCGAGCUUAAAUGGCC